Molecule: ribosomal RNA, 253 nt
Filed under: uncultured bacterium
Lineage: Bacteria
Description: partial 16S ribosomal RNA
Rfam family: Bacterial small subunit ribosomal RNA
Source: RNAcentral
UACAGAAGCCUCGAGCGUUGUUCGGAAUUACUGGGCGUAAAGGGAAUGUAGGUGGUGACGUAAGUCAGAUGUGAAAGCCCUGGGCUUAACCUGGGAAGUGCAUUUGAUACUGCGUUGCUGGAGUGCGAGAGAGGAAAGUGGAAUUCCCAGUGUAGGGGUGAAAUCCGUAGAUAUUGGGAGGAAUACCAAUGGCGUAGGCAGCUUUCUGGCUCGUAACUGACACUGAGAUUCGAAAGCAUGGGUAGCAAACAGG